AAAGAAAGUCUCCUAAAGAAUCUACAUUUCGCUGUAUUAUCCGUAACAACGUCCUGCAGGUCUCUAAGUUCAGUCAAGAUUUCAAAGCUAUCCCUGCCUUUUCGAAGGCUAAAAACUAUUUAAUUAUCAGGAUGUUAGACAUGUCUAAUACAGUUAAAGGAACCGUUAAGUGGUUCAACGAAUCAAAAGGUUUUGGUUUUAUUGAGCAAGAGUCUGGUCCAGACGUAUUUGCUCACUUCAGCGCUAUUCAGAGCUCAGGUUUCAAAACCCUGGCUGAAGGCCAGCAAGUUGAGUUCACUGUAACUCAAGGCCAGAAAGGUCCUCAAGCUGAGAACAUCGUACCUCUGUAAGGGGUAAUUAAAC
RNAcentral lists this small RNA (363 nucleotides) under uncultured Ketobacter sp. Its description in RNAcentral is "cspA thermoregulator". Lineage: Bacteria; Pseudomonadati; Pseudomonadota; Gammaproteobacteria; Pseudomonadales; Ketobacteraceae. The record is from RNAcentral.